This 912-nucleotide long non-coding RNA is filed under the name Daucus carota (carrot). Its description in RNAcentral is "long non-coding RNA (DCAR_LNC004810)". The record is from RNAcentral. Lineage: Eukaryota; Viridiplantae; Streptophyta; Magnoliopsida; Apiales; Apiaceae.
GGGGACUUAGAACUGGAGUUUAAACAAAUUCCUCGGAAAAUUAUGGAGCAGCACACAUCUGACACCUGGGAAAAACAAAUUUUCAUAUAUUCAACACAGUUUCAACAGAACAAACUCUCAUUAGGGGGUGAUGAACAGUAUCUUUGAAGAUAUAAAAUGGGGAAUUUGAUUCAUAGUGAUUUAUUCUUGAUUAAAUUCUUCCAAGAUUCACUGGCAUCAGAAGUUGAAACUUAUGUUUCAAUUCCACAUUUAAACUAUUUCAGUCUUGAAUAUCGGAUAUUGACAACUUCUGCAGACAAUUGAAAUCAUACGGAUAGAUCUCAAAUACCAAUCUAAUAAUAUAUGGGUUCAUCUGCAAGGCAAACUCUAUACUUUCUACUACAUACCUUGAUUGGCAAUAUUUGCUCCACAAAUGCAUAUUUCGUUUAUCUUUUAUCAUGUACAAAACACCUUCUUAGGAAGGGAAGAGAACUUCUAAUGAUCUUAGCCGAAAAAACCUCUGAUGGAUCCCAACUGUCAACCAACUCAAAAUCUCUACAGAAACUUGCCCAAACGAUUUUACCAAUGAGUGGAAAAAAAUUCCUAAACACUACAAACAUAGUGCGCUACUGUCUGCCCUGGCAGCCCUGAUUCUUCGUUUUCAGCUCGUUCUCGCGUGCAUGUCCUUCCUCGCUCUAGUACCACUUCCGUAGGUGAUCACGGUUGCAUUUAGCACAUGCAACAAGCCCUUUAAACCCCUAGAUAGCUCUAGUGGACGAGUGUGUUUCCUAAACACUACAAACAUAAAACAAACACCAACAAGCCACUCUUACAGUUUAACAGAAAAAGGUCAUGCAUCUUGCUUUCACACACCAUUUCCGCUCACAAUCCUGGAGGGAAGUUGCUAAUUUGCCCUUCCUCCUUCACAUCUUC